Molecule: ribosomal RNA, 322 nt
Filed under: uncultured eukaryote
Lineage: Eukaryota
Description: partial 18S ribosomal RNA
Rfam family: Eukaryotic small subunit ribosomal RNA
Source: RNAcentral
CCCUUAGAUGUUCUGGGCCGCACGCGUGCUACACUGAGUGGAUCAGCGGGUCAGGUUGCGCGAAAGUGUUUCCUAAUCUUUAAAUCCGCUCGUGAUGGGGAUUGACGGUUGCAAUUUUCCGUCAUGAACGAGGAAUACCUUGUAAGCGCGGGUCAUCAUCCCGCGCUGAAUACGUCCCUGCCCUUUGUACACACCGCCCGUCGCUCCUACCGAUUGAGUGGUCCGGUGAGGCUUUGGGAUCUGAGCGGAAAGAGCGUUUCGCUGUUUCUGCCCGGAAAACUCAGUCGAAACUUAUCAUUUAGAGGAAGGAGAAGUCGUAACA